Non-coding RNA from Pelodiscus sinensis (Chinese soft-shelled turtle), 624 nucleotides. The record is from RefSeq and is a predicted model, not a curated record. NCBI's taxonomy places the organism in Eukaryota, Metazoa, Chordata, Testudines, Trionychidae.
GAUAGGACAGAGCAAUGACCCCUUCUCAGGUCCUGCCUCCCUGUGUUCCCAACCCAUGAGGACUAUAACACUGGAGCUGUAAAGGGCUCCCUGCAUUGCCAUGGGCCCCAUAGCAUUGGCUCCCUGCAGGCACUGUGUGUGGAGUAGGAUGAGCUACUAAUUCUUAUCCAUUAAUUUUUUUCUCUUCAAUUUUUCAGACAGGUGAAACUGAUAUUUACCCACACCUAGCAAUUUAACGCGAAUCCUGCCAAAUCUUACCAUGAUGAUAAUCUGAGGUUAUCUGGAGUAAUAAGCACCUCCUGAUCUGAACAAAUGUUGAAGUAAAAGGCUCAGGAAUUUCUUAGCCCAGCUGUACUUAUUACCUGACUGUGACACCCUAUGAAAUAUGGGAGACACUUUCUGAUAUUAACACCAGUAUCUUAAAAUUGCAAGGAAUCAGACCAGUAUGUCAUUUUAAGACAUCAAGUAGUGUGGUGUUUGGAUAAAAUUCCAACUAAUAUCAACCGCGUAACGUGGCUGACAUUUGGGAGUCUGGAGAACAUUUUGUACGUUAUAUUGACAGAGUAGAAACUAAGGGGCUACGUCUACACUGGCCACAAUUUCCGGAAAAGCCAUGCAAAUCAG